AUGUCAGCGGUUCGAGUCCGCUUAUCUCCAGCCCGUGAACUUAGCGGAUACUAUGAUAGCGAUAGCACCGAAUUUUGCCAAUUCGGCAGUUCGAUCUAUGAUUUCACAUUCAUGGACGUUGAUAAGAUCCUUCCAUUUAGUAGCACCUUAGGAUGGCAUAGCCUUAACGUUAAUGGCGAGGUUCAAAAGAGGAAAGGCUUGCGGUGGAUACCUAGGCACCCAGAGACGAGGAAGGGCGUAGCAAGCGACGAAAUGCUUCGGGUGUACCCAGAGCAGAAGAUCGUAUGCGAGCAAUUCAAGAGGAAUUGGCGGCAUUCUUCCUUGACCACGUGA
This 333-nucleotide ribosomal RNA is filed under the name Triticum aestivum (bread wheat). RNAcentral's name for it is "partial small subunit ribosomal RNA". Lineage: Eukaryota; Viridiplantae; Streptophyta; Magnoliopsida; Poales; Poaceae. The record is from RNAcentral.